This 274-nucleotide ribosomal RNA is filed under the name uncultured bacterium. Its description in RNAcentral is "partial 16S ribosomal RNA". It matches the Rfam family "Bacterial small subunit ribosomal RNA", at positions 523 to 796 of the family's 1533-position model. The record is from RNAcentral.
AUACGGAGGGUGCAAGCGUUACUCGGAAUCACUGGGCGUAAAGCGCGCGCAGGCGGCUAUUUAAGUUGGAUGUGAAAGCCUACGGCUCAACCGUAGAACUGCAUCCAAAACUAUUUAGCUAGAGUGUGUGAGAGGAAGAUGGAAUUAGUUGUGUAGGGGUAAAUUCCGUAGAGAUAACUAGGAAUACCAAAAGCGAAGGCAAUCUUCUGGAACACUACUGACGCUGAGGCGCGAAAGCGUGGGGAGCAAACGGGAUUAGAAACCCUAGUAGUCC